AAAGAUAAUGAACCAUACUGUGAAUGAUCAGGUGAGCAGGGACUGAUAAGUUGGAAGAGGAGGAGGCAAUUUAGAGGAUUUAUUUAAUCAGAGUCCUAGAGUUGAAGGCAGAGAUGAGAAGGAGAGGACUAAAAUGGCCAGGGUGCCAACAAUAAUGUGAAUGAGUUUAAAGUAAGAAGAGAUCUAUGGAAGUGAAUAAAAAGGGCACAUGGAGGAUGCUGGGUGCUGGGCAGGCAUAUCAUAUCAUAUAAUCAUCUCAACUCCAAAUAUGACGUUGGCACUGUUAUUUCCAUUUUACAAAUGAAGAGAUGAGGUUGAGAGGUAUCGUUUAUUAUCUUGGCCUAUAAGUACAUGGAAGAGUUGGAAUUCGAACUGAGAGCCAGGAUAUGAACUUACAAGUGCCUUGCUUUAGCACUGCCUGUCCCAGAAGGAUUGUACCUUUCUGCUUCUCCAGAAACUAACUAAAGAUUUUCUCACCUGCUGAGAGUUGAGGAUGUUGCUUCAGGCAUGUUCAGACUUCUGGAGGGGAGCAUUGACCUGAAACCACAGUGGG
RNAcentral lists this long non-coding RNA (553 nucleotides) under Homo sapiens (human). RNAcentral describes it as "HSALNT0041866". The record is from RNAcentral. Lineage: Eukaryota; Metazoa; Chordata; Mammalia; Primates; Hominidae.